GAGUUGUUAGUCGACUAAUGGUUGACUUUAUGUGUACAGCAUACAGAAUUGGGUUGAAGAUUUAUUUUGGAAACAGCUUGAUUUAGAUUACCCUGGCAUGCCUGAUGCAAUGGUGCACCAUGGGUUUUUUAACGCUUACCACAACACAACCAUACGCCCUGGAAUUCUAAAUGCUAUUGCAAGAGCUAAGGAGUUCUAUGGAGAUAUUCGCAUCAUAGUUACAGGUCAUUCAAUGGGCGGGGCAAUGGCUUCAUUUUGUGCUCUUGAUCUAAGGGUAAUCA
Non-coding RNA from Prunus mume (Japanese apricot), 281 nucleotides. The record is from RefSeq and is a predicted model, not a curated record. NCBI's taxonomy places the organism in Eukaryota, Viridiplantae, Streptophyta, Magnoliopsida, Rosales, Rosaceae.